RNAcentral lists this long non-coding RNA (251 nucleotides) under Capsicum annuum. RNAcentral describes it as "long non-coding RNA (CANN_LNC020855)". Lineage: Eukaryota; Viridiplantae; Streptophyta; Magnoliopsida; Solanales; Solanaceae. The record is from RNAcentral.
GGGGACCGACACUGAAAACUCGUGUUUACCAAUGGGAGGUUGGUCUUUGUGACCAUGUGCAUGAUGUCAUACUUUAUAUUCUUGGGAUGUAUUUAUCUCAUGUUCUUUUCUUCGGCUGUAUGACUAAUACGCACUGGGUCUUUUUCAGCAGGGGAGCUGAACCUAUAUAGCCCGUAGAUGAUUUUAGGAUGGCAGAGCCACACAACCCAGGUUAAGGUUUUAAAUAUAUGCCAAAAUUUGUUCCCUAUCCC